AAGCAUUUCGUUUCCAAAAAAAAAAAAAAUGGUUUCUGUCUCCGAACUUGUUCUCUACGUACAUGAGAAUGUCUACGAAACAUGCAUUGGAGUCAACAUCGCUAACAAUGAUCAAGUAUUUGAGUAUGCUCAAACUGCAUUUGUCGAAAACGGUGACAACGAUGAUGACGUUAUCUAUGAUUACGCUCCAGCAGCAUGAAUGAAUUUUAUCUCUAUUAGGCUAAAGCGUAGUGAACCAACCAUGAUUUUGUACUUCGUAUAUUAAUUAUUUAACGGCCCUAGGGCUUCCUUUAUGUUUUGUCUACUUAACACUUUCACUAUAAAUCGUCGAGCAUUUUAUUCUCUCAAGCUCACUUGAUUUCACUUUAUUUAUUUUAAUGAAAAAAUAAACGAAAAUAGUGCAGUAUCAUUACAUAUAGCCUGUAAAUUGUGAUGAUCAUGGUAGUUAAAGUAUCAUGAUACCAUUUAAGGAGUCUUCUAGAA
RNAcentral lists this small RNA (483 nucleotides) under Arabidopsis thaliana (thale cress). Its description in RNAcentral is "putative long intergenic non-coding RNA". Lineage: Eukaryota; Viridiplantae; Streptophyta; Magnoliopsida; Brassicales; Brassicaceae. The record is from RNAcentral.